UACGGAGGGUGCAAGCGUUAUCCGGAUUCACUGGGCUUAAAGGGUGCGUAGGUGGUUUGGUAAGUCAGUGGUGAAAUCUCCGGGCUUAACCCGGAAACUGCCAUUGAUACUAUCAGUCUUGAAUACCGUGGAGGUCAGUAGAAUAUGUCAUGUAGCGGUGAAAUGCUUAGAUAUGACAUAGAAUACCAAUUGCGAAGGCAGCUGGCUACACGAAUAUUGACACUCAGGCACGAAAGCGUGGGGAUCAAACAGG
RNAcentral lists this ribosomal RNA (253 nucleotides) under uncultured bacterium. RNAcentral describes it as "partial 16S ribosomal RNA". It matches the Rfam family "Bacterial small subunit ribosomal RNA", at positions 524 to 776 of the family's 1533-position model. The record is from RNAcentral.